AAGUCGUAACAAGGUUUCCGUAGGUGAACCUGCGGAAGGAUCAUUAAUGAAUUUAAUUAACCCUGUGGAUUGGAAAAUGAAAAAAAAGCAAGAAUUUAUUUUUUUGAUUUUAGUUCUUUCUAUUCACCUGUGUUAUUUUUCCAUUUACCGUGAACUGUAUUAUGCAUGACGCUUGAGGGAUGAUUUCUGGUUAUAAUGGACAGACCAGAAAAAUUGUUUAAGCCGAGUCAUGAUCAGAUCUUAUGAUCUGGUGUCCUAAUAUUAAAUUACCCAAAAAUGUAUUCAUUUUAAAUAAAAUUUUUGAAUAUGGCUUAAAAAAUCCAUUAAAAACCAA
This 334-nucleotide unclassified non-coding RNA is filed under the name plant metagenome. RNAcentral's name for it is "partial contains small subunit ribosomal RNA and internal transcribed spacer 1". The stretch from base 1 to 46 matches the Rfam family "Eukaryotic small subunit ribosomal RNA", at positions 1786 to 1831 of the family's 1831-position model. The record is from RNAcentral.